CUACAUAUUGUUAUUACAGGUACUGCCUUGCGGCAGUUUAAAAGGGAAGCAGGUGAAAAUCCUGCACGGUCCCGCCGCUGUGAUGGGGAGGCAUCCCAUAACGUGCCACUGGGGAAUCCCGGGAAGGAAUGGGGUGUUGAUGAACCAGAGUCAGAAGACCUGCCUGUAAUGCCGCACCGUA
This 181-nucleotide non-coding RNA is filed under the name Thermoclostridium stercorarium. Lineage: Bacteria; Bacillati; Bacillota; Clostridia; Eubacteriales; Oscillospiraceae. The record is from RNAcentral. RNAcentral also lists the same sequence under 1 other name.